UUUCCGUAGGUGAACCUGCGGAAGGAUCAUUAUCGAAAAGCAAUCCGGGGGGGAGGCCACCGAGCGAAGUUUGGUAGAUCGUAGGGAUUGUCGCUGGCCUUUGGAAACGAAGGCAUGUGCACGUUCCGAGUUCUCCUUAGUCCUCCUUUGCCUUUCCUUUGGAAGUCCCUUUCUUCACACCCGUGCACACAUUGUAGGUCUCCGCGAGGGGAUCUAUGUCUUCACAAAACUCUACGUAUGUCCAGGAAUGUAUCUAAAGCGUCGAACGGCUCGGCUCCAUGCCCGGUCGCCGACGGUAAAGAACCAUAAUACAACUUUCAGCAACGGAUCUCUUGGCUCUC
Molecule: unclassified non-coding RNA, 341 nt
Filed under: plant metagenome
Description: partial contains small subunit ribosomal RNA, internal transcribed spacer 1, and 5.8S ribosomal RNA
Source: RNAcentral